UACGGGGGGGGCAAGCGUUGUUCGGAAUUACUGGGCGUAAAGGGCUCGUAGGCGGCCAACUAAGUCAGACGUGAAAUCCCUCGGCUUAACCGGGGAACUGCGUCUGAUACUGGAUGGCUUGAGUUUGGGAGAGGGAUGCGGAAUUCCAGGUGUAGCGGUGAAAUGCAUAGAUAUCGUCAAGAACACCGAUAGCGAAGGCAGCUGACUAAGUUGUAACUGACGCUGAGGCACGAAAGUGUGGGGAUCAAACAGG
This 253-nucleotide ribosomal RNA is filed under the name uncultured bacterium. Its description in RNAcentral is "partial 16S ribosomal RNA". It matches the Rfam family "Bacterial small subunit ribosomal RNA", at positions 524 to 776 of the family's 1533-position model. The record is from RNAcentral.